Molecule: ribosomal RNA, 467 nt
Filed under: uncultured bacterium
Lineage: Bacteria
Description: partial 16S ribosomal RNA
Rfam family: Bacterial small subunit ribosomal RNA
Source: RNAcentral
ACGAACGCUGGCGGCGUGCUUAACCCAUGCAAGUCGCACGGAAAGGCCCUGCUUUUGUGGGGUGCUCGAGUGGCGAACGGGUGAGUAACACGUGAGUAACCUGCCCUUGACUUUGGGAUAACUUCAGGAAACUGGGGCUAAUACCGGAUAGGAGCUCCUGCUGCAUGGUGGGGGUUGGAAAGUUUCGGCGGUUGGGGAUGGACUCGCGGCUUAUCAGCUUGUUGGUGGGGUAGUGGCUUACCAAGGCUUUGACGGGUAGCCGGCCUGAGAGGGUGACCGGCCACAUUGGGACUGAGAUACGGCCCAGACUCCUACGGGAGGCAGCAGUGGGGAAUAUUGCACAAUGGGCGGAAGCCUGAUGCAGCAACGCCGCGUGCGGGAUGACGGCCUUCGGGUUGUAAACCGCUUUCGCCUGUGACGAAGCGUGAGUGACGGUAAUGGGUAAAGAAGCACCGGCUAACUACGUG